RNAcentral lists this ribosomal RNA (593 nucleotides) under uncultured bacterium. RNAcentral's name for it is "bacterial SSU rRNA". It matches the Rfam family "Bacterial small subunit ribosomal RNA", at positions 8 to 599 of the family's 1533-position model. The record is from RNAcentral.
AGAGUUUGAUCCUGGCUCAGGACGAACGCUGGCGGCGUGCUUAAUACAUGCAAGUCGAGCGAGGUUAUCUUUUCAACGUCCUUCGGGACGGCGAAUUUUUAACCUAGCGGCGGACGGGUGAGUAACGCGUGGGUAAUCUGCCCUAAAGCCCGGGAUAACAGUGGGAAACUGCUGCUAAUACCGGAUAGCUUUAUCUGGAGGCAUCUUCGGAUAAGGAAACGUAAGGCUUUAGGAUGAGCCCGCGUCCCAUUAGCUAGUUGGUGAGGUAACGGCCCACCAAGGCGACGAUGGGUAGCCGGCCUGAGAGGUCGACCGGCCACAUUGGAACUGAGAGACGGUCCAGACUCCUACGGGAGGCAGCAGUGGGGAAUAUUGGGCAAUGGGCGGAAGCCUGACCCAGCGACGCCGCGUGAGGGAAGACAGCCUUCGGGUUGUAAACCUCUGUUGCAGGGGAAGAAGGAAGUGACGGUACCCUGCGAGGAAGCACCGGCUAACUCCGUGCCAGCAGCCGCGGUAAUACGGAGGGUGCAAGCGUUAAUCGGAAUUACUGGGCGUAAAGCGCACGUAGGCUGUUGUGUAAGUCAGGGGUGAAA